This 2108-nucleotide ribosomal RNA is filed under the name Escherichia coli. RNAcentral's name for it is "partial 23S ribosomal RNA". It matches the Rfam family "Bacterial large subunit ribosomal RNA", at positions 1 to 2136 of the family's 2925-position model. The record is from RNAcentral. Lineage: Bacteria; Pseudomonadati; Pseudomonadota; Gammaproteobacteria; Enterobacterales; Enterobacteriaceae.
GUUAAGCGACUAAGCGUACACGGUGGAUGCCCUGGCAGUCAGAGGCGAUGAAGGACGUGCUAAUCUGCGAUAAGCGUCGGUAAGGUGAUAUGAACCGUUAUAACCGGCGAUUUCCGAAUGGGGAAACCCAGUGUGUUUCGACACACUAUCAUUAACUGAAUCCAUAGGUUAAUGAGGCGAACCGGGGGAACUGAAACAUCUAAGUACCCCGAGGAAAAGAAAUCAACCGAGAUUCCCCCAGUAGCGGCGAGCGAACGGGGAGCAGCCCAGAGCCUGAAUCAGUAUGUGUGUUAGUGGAAGCGUCUGGAAAGGCGCGCGAUACAGGGUGACAGCCCCGUACACAAAAAUGCACAUGCUGUGAGCUCGAUGAGUAGGGCGGGACACGUGGUAUCCUGUCUGAAUAUGGGGGGACCAUCCUCCAAGGCUAAAUACUCCUGACUGACCGAUAGUGAACCAGUACCGUGAGGGAAAGGCGAAAAGAACCCCGGCGAGGGGAGUGAAAAAGAACCUGAAACCGUGUACGUACAAGCAGUGGGAGCACGCUUAGGCGUGUGACUGCGUACCUUUUGUAUAAUGGGUCAGCGACUUAUAUUCUGUAGCAAGGUUAACCGAAUAGGGGAGCCGAAGGGAAACCGAGUCUUAACUGGGCGUUAAGUUGCAGGGUAUAGACCCGAAACCCGGUGAUCUAGCCAUGGGCAGGUUGAAGGUUGGGUAACACUAACUGGAGGACCGAACCGACUAAUGUUGAAAAAUUAGCGGAUGACUUGUGGCUGGGGGUGAAAGGCCAAUCAAACCGGGAGAUAGCUGGUUCUCCCCGAAAGCUAUUUAGGUAGCGCCUCGUGAAUUCAUCUCCGGGGGUAGAGCACUGUUUCGGCAAGGGGGUCAUCCCGACUUACCAACCCGAUGCAAACUGCGAAUACCGGAGAAUGUUAUCACGGGAGACACACGGCGGGUGCUAACGUCCGUCGUGAAGAGGGAAACAACCCAGACCGCCAGCUAAGGUCCCAAAGUCAUGGUUAAGUGGGAAACGAUGUGGGAAGGCCCAGACAGCCAGGAUGUUGGCUUAGAAGCAGCCAUCAUUUAAAGAAAGCGUAAUAGCUCACUGGUCGAGUCGGCCUGCGCGGAAGAUGUAACGGGGCUAAACCAUGCACCGAAGCUGCGGCAGCGACACUAUGUGUUGUUGGGUAGGGGAGCGUUCUGUAAGCCUGCGAAGGUGUGCUGUGAGGCAUGCUGGAGGUAUCAGAAGUGCGAAUGCUGACAUAAGUAACGAUAAAGCGGGUGAAAAGCCCGCUCGCCGGAAGACCAAGGGUUCCUGUCCAACGUUAAUCGGGGCAGGGUGAGUCGACCCCUAAGGCGAGGCCGAAAGGCGUAGUCGAUGGGAAACAGGUUAAUAUUCCUGUACUUGGUGUUACUGCGAAGGGGGGACGGAGAAGGCUAUGUUGGCCGGGCGACGGUUGUCCCGGUUUAAGCGUGUAGGCUGGUUUUCCAGGCAAAUCCGGAAAAUCAAGGCUGAGGCGUGAUGACGAGGCACUACGGUGCUGAAGCAACAAAUGCCCUGCUUCCAGGAAAAGCCUCUAAGCAUCAGGUAACAUCAAAUCGUACCCCAAACCGACACAGGUGGUCAGGUAGAGAAUACCAAGGCGCUUGAGAGAACUCGGGUGAAGGAACUAGGCAAAAUGGUGCCGUAACUUCGGGAGAAGGCACGCUGAUAUGUAGGUGAGGUCCCUCGCGGAUGGAGCUGAAAUCAGUCGAAGAUACCAGCUGGCUGCAACUGUUUAUUAAAAACACAGCACUGUGCAAACACGAAAGUGGACGUAUACGGUGUGACGCCUGCCCGGUGCCGGAAGGUUAAUUGAUGGGGUUAGCGCAAGCGAAGCUCUUGAUCGAAGCCCCGGUAAACGGCGGCCGUAACUAUAACGGUCCUAAGGUAGCGAAAUUCCUUGUCGGGUAAGUUCCGACCUGCACGAAUGGCGUAAUGAUGGCCAGGCUGUCUCCACCCGAGACUCAGUGAAAUUGAACUCGCUGUGAAGAUGCAGUGUACCCGCGGCAAGACGGAAAGACCCCGUGAACCUUUACUAUAGCUUGACACUGAACAUUGAGCCUUGAUG